RNAcentral lists this ribosomal RNA (456 nucleotides) under uncultured archaeon. RNAcentral's name for it is "bacterial SSU rRNA". It matches the Rfam family "Archaeal small subunit ribosomal RNA", at positions 70 to 508 of the family's 1478-position model. The record is from RNAcentral.
ACGGAGGCGCGGCGCACAGCUCAGUAACGCGUGGCUAACCUGCCCUCGGGACGGGAAUACCCCCGGGAAACUGGGGCUAAUCCCCGAUAGGUGAAGAACUCUGGAAUGAGUCUCCGCCCAAAAGACGCUUAAAUCAUGCUUUUAGGCGCCGCCCAAGGAUGGGGCCGCGACCGAUCAGGUAGUUGGUGAGGCAACGGCUCACCAAGCCUUUAACCGGUGCGGGCCGUGAGAGCGGGAGCCCGGAGAUGGGCACUGAGACAAGGGCCCAGGCCCUACGGGGCGCAGCAGUCGCGAAAACUUUGCAAUACACGAAAGUGUGACAGGGCUAUCCCGAGUGCCAUCCGCUGAGGAAGGCUUUUACCCAGUGUACAAAGCUGGGAGAAUAAGGAGAGGGCAAGACUGGUGUCAGCCGCCGCGGUAAUACCAGCUCUCCGAGUGGUGUGGAUGUUUAUUGGG